GCAAGUCGAGCGCCCCUUCGGGGGAGCGGCGGACGGGUGAGUAACGCGUGGGAAUCUACCCUAUGGUGGAGGAUAACACCGGGAAACCGGGGCUAAUAAUGCAUAUGGUCUACGGAUCAAAGGCUUCGGUCGCCAAAGGAUGAGCCCGCGUCCCAUUAUUUAACCUGGUUGGUGGGGUAACGGCCUACCAAGGGUACGAUGGGUAGCUGGUCUGAGAGGACGAUC
Molecule: ribosomal RNA, 225 nt
Filed under: uncultured bacterium
Lineage: Bacteria
Description: partial 16S ribosomal RNA
Rfam family: Bacterial small subunit ribosomal RNA
Source: RNAcentral